RNAcentral lists this unclassified non-coding RNA (199 nucleotides) under soil metagenome. RNAcentral describes it as "partial contains small subunit ribosomal RNA, internal transcribed spacer 1, and 5.8S ribosomal RNA". The record is from RNAcentral.
UCUCCGUAGGUGAACCUGCGGAGGGAUCAUUACUGAGUUUUCAACUCUCCAAACCAUGUGAACUUACCACUGUUGCCUCGGUGGUUUGGGUCUUCGGGCCUGACCACCGGCGGACUACUAAACUCUUGUUAAUUUUUGGCAUCCUGAAUCAUAACUAAGAAAUAAGUUAAAACUUUCAACAACGGAUCUCUUGGUUCUG